GCUGGAGUGGAAACAGAGAUUCAUGCGUACAGAACAGCCACCAAAUUAUCACUGAAGGACAUUAUCAUGUAGCUCGUGGAGUACCAAUCCCAAUGCUUACAAAGGUAAAACAAGAACUGGACAGAAUGGAGUGGCUGGGUGUGAUUUAAGAGGUUUCUGAGCCCACUCCAUGGUGUGCCCCAAUGGUGCCAGUUGCCAAAAGGAAUGGAGACAUUAGUGUUACAUCCCACAUAAGUCUAGGGGUACAGGUGGACGCAACAAAAGUAAAAUAUUUUAAAGAGCGUUAAUCUGAGACCUGCCACAGCACCACAAGCAACAAUUGUCGAGAAAAAGAUUUUAUUUUACAGCUCGUGGAACAAAUACAAAAGGGAAAAAACACAGGAAGCAAUAGCUUCAGGAGAGGAUAAGGCCAAAAUAAUAAACAAAAAUAUAAUCUAACUGGAGUAGUUUACCUCUAACUAAACUAACAAAGAAAAGAAAAGAAAAUAACAGGAUUGUACCCUAACUCCCUUCCUGGCCCCAAAACAGGAGAAAACAGGGUUAAACAAAAAUGGCACCCACCUCCCUACAGCUUCCAAAAUAGAACUACUAAGCAAAACGCAAAUAGGCAAACCUUAAAGUAGCUGCUAAGAGGGACAUUAAUAAUAGCAGCUGUAAACCAAGUAACAAACUAAAAAGUAAAGAAGAAUAUAAAUCUCUUUAACUAAAACAACAAAAGUAAGGGUUGGAGAAUAUCACAAUAAACAAAUAAACGAACAUACUACCAUACCAAAGUAGAACACUAAACAGCUCAACCACCACCAGUUGUAACUGCAGCAACAGGCUGGGCAGGACAAAGACCAACGCUCUGGAGAAAGCUCUUGGGGAACGUUUUUCUCCCAGUCUGGUAGCUGGAGCUCUGCUUUAUGCUGGCUCACUCUUAAUUGGUAAGCAGUUACAGCUGGGAGCAAUCAACUACCUGCCAGGCAGAUUGAGUAGGAGGAGUCAAGAAGAAACAACGAAAGAAAAAAAAGAACACAUUAAAGAAAGUAUAAAUUAAUAAAGACUUCGUCUCUGGACGUAACAUUAGAAUAUGUGUCGACCUCAAACGACUAAACUAAGCCGUCAUUCGUGAAAAGUAUGUUUUGCCAACCUUGGAUGACAUCACUUCUAAACUGGCAGGGGCGACAGUCUUUUCUAGCCUCGACACUGCCAGCGGUUUCUGGCAGAUACCGUUAGAUGAUGCUAGCAAGAGGUUGACUACUUUUAUAACCC
Molecule: long non-coding RNA, 1254 nt
Organism: Cyprinus carpio carpio
Lineage: Eukaryota; Metazoa; Chordata; Actinopteri; Cypriniformes; Cyprinidae
Source: Ensembl